CACAAACAGUGGCCAUUCAUUUGUUCUCCGUGCACUUGUCGAUGUGCAUGAUACGAGAUAUUUGUGUUGGGACUCCUGGAAGUGUCAUGACGUGUUUGCAGCAUCGGAUCUUUAUGCCGUUAAGAUCAAUCCAUAAUCACGUACAAUAAAUUGGCUUUCAAGGCUGUAUACCGUCGUCAUGAUUAACACAGGCUAAUGAUUGGGGCAAAUUCUGUCAUGUGAGACUACAUUUUUGCGUUAAUGCCGUUAACACAAAAAGUGUUUCCAAACCAGUUUUUCACGACAUUUGAAGUAUCGACAGAGUUUAUGCGCUAGAGUUAAACGGAAAAAUAUUAUGUCGACACUUGUGAAAUUUUAGCGAUAAUUUGCGUUUCCAUCAGCUUUAUUUUGAUGCGCUAAAACAUUUUUCGCAAAAAAACAUCCUUGGAUGGAAACGUAGUUGUAGCAUUCUAUGGGCGGUACCCUGUCGAGGAGACAAGAGGCCGUAUUUUUAAUGGAUGUCUAUGGCGGAAAUGCUUCAGUACGCUGAAUAAACUGCUUUUGUGAGGAAACAGCUCAUCACUUAAUGAAUUGACCGCCUGUCUGCUAAUCUUCAAGAUGUUUUACACUAAACCGUUCUUUUGUAAUGAACUAUGUGUGGAGUUUACAACGAUAAAAUUGCUGUUUUAUAAGAGAAGACGCAGAGAAUAUUGCGACAAGUAGGUGUGCGUUUACGGCUCUCCCGAUUCAUUUAAAUGGAAUCCGCAAACGGUGACUUACUGUCGUAACACGCUAGUUGCUAGUUCUCUCUGUUAAAAACGCGGAGGUUGUUCUACACCAUGUGUACAAGCUCUCUGGUUACCAUUUUAUCCAUCAGCUCACACAGUUCAUAUGACGUUUGCACGUGAUUGUAGAGUGUGACGCACAUACGAGCGAUUCCAUUUAUUUCCACAGACCAGAUUCAUUCACGAAGCAUAAUAAACUCGUUGGAAUUGAGGUGGGAAAUAAUGGAGAAGUGUGACUGUUCUAAAACUGGAUCUUGUAACUGCGGGCAAAACUGCAAAUGCACCAAUUGUACAAGCUCACAAUGCAAGAAAAGUUGCUGCAGUACUGCAUCUGGAUGCAGUAAGGACACCAGGGCUGUGAGAGCGCGGGCAAGGACAAGGAGAAAUCGUGCCAGACGCGCUGCUGCAAAUGAAAGUGUGUGAUGUGGCGCUGUGAAACUGUGGUCCUUCAAUAAAGCACAUUCUAACACAUA
Long non-coding RNA from Myxocyprinus asiaticus (Chinese sucker), 1237 nucleotides. RefSeq lists it as uncharacterized. NCBI's taxonomy places the organism in Eukaryota, Metazoa, Chordata, Actinopteri, Cypriniformes, Catostomidae. The transcript is spliced from 3 exons. The record is from RefSeq and is a predicted model, not a curated record.